RNAcentral lists this ribosomal RNA (494 nucleotides) under uncultured bacterium. RNAcentral describes it as "bacterial SSU rRNA". It matches the Rfam family "Bacterial small subunit ribosomal RNA", at positions 28 to 480 of the family's 1533-position model. The record is from RNAcentral.
GACGAACGCUGGCGGCGUGCCUAAUACAUGCAAGUCGAACGCACUCUCGUUUAGAUUGAAGAAGCUUGCUCCUGAUUGAUAAACAUUUGAGUGAGUGGCGGACGGGUGAGUAACACGUGGGUAACCUGCCCUAAAGUGGGGGAUAACAUUUGGAAACAGAUGCUAAUACCGCAUAAAACCUAAACACCGCAUGGUGUAGGGUUGAAAGAUGGUUUCGGCUAUCACUUUAGGAUGGACCCGCGGUGCAUUAGUUAGUUGGUGAGGUAAAGGCUCACCAAGACCGUGAUGCAUAGCCGACCUGAGAGGGUAAUCGGCCACACUGGGACUGAGACACGGCCCAGACUCCUACGGGAGGCAGCAGUAGGGAAUCUUCCACAAUGGACGAAAGUCUGAUGGAGCAACGCCGCGUGAGUGAAGAAGGUUUUCGGAUCGUAAAACUCUGUUGUUGGAGAAGAAUGUAUCUGAUAGUAACUGAUCAGGUAGUGACGGUAUCC